This 252-nucleotide ribosomal RNA is filed under the name uncultured bacterium. Its description in RNAcentral is "partial 16S ribosomal RNA". It matches the Rfam family "Bacterial small subunit ribosomal RNA", at positions 524 to 776 of the family's 1533-position model. The record is from RNAcentral.
UACGGGGGAUGCGAGCGUUAUCCGGAUUUAUUGGGUUUAAAGGGUGCGUAGGCGGGCUUUUAAGUCAGCGGUAAAAAUUCGGGGCUCAACCCCGUCCGGCCGUUGAAACUGGGGGCCUUGAGUGGGCGAGAAGAAGGCGGAAUGCGUGGUGUAGCGGUGAAAUGCAUAGAUAUCACGCAGAACCCCGAUUGCGAAGGCAGCCUUCCGGCGCCCUACUGACGCUGAGGCACGAAAGUGCGGGUAUCGAACAGG